Gorilla gorilla gorilla (western lowland gorilla) is the source of this 148-nucleotide non-coding RNA. It matches the Rfam family "Metazoan signal recognition particle RNA". From Rfam's summary of the family: The signal recognition particle (SRP) is a universally conserved ribonucleoprotein. It is involved in the co-translational targeting of proteins to membranes. The record is from Rfam. NCBI's taxonomy places the organism in Eukaryota, Metazoa, Chordata, Mammalia, Primates, Hominidae.
GCUAGGUGUGGUGGCGCAUGCCUGUGGUCCCAGCUACUUGGGAGGCUGAGGUGGGAGGAUCACUUGAGCCCAGGAGGUGGAGGUUGCAGUGAGUCAAGAUUGCACCACUGCACUCCAGCCUGGGCGACAGAGCAAGACCCCAUCUCAA